GACGAACGCUGGCGGCGUGCUUAACACAUGCAAGUCGAACGGAAAGGCCUCUUUCGGGGGGUACUCGAGUGGCGAACGGGUGAGUAACACGUGAGUAACCUGCCCUUGACUUUGGGAUAACUUCAGGAAACUGGGGCUAAUACCGGAUAGGAGCUCCUGCUGCAUGGUGGGGGUUGGAAAGUUUCGGCGGUUGGGGAUGGACUCGCGGCUUAUCAGCUUGUUGGUGGGGUAGUGGCUUACCAAGGCUUUGACGGGUAGCCGGCCUGAGAGGGUGACCGGCCACAUUGGGACUGAGAUACGGCCCAGGCUCCUACGGGAGGCAGCAGUGGGGAAUAUUGCACAAUGGGUGGAAGCCUGAUGCAGCAGCGCCGUGUGCGGGAUGACGGCCUUCGGGUUGUAAACCGCUUUCGCUCGUGACGAAGCUUUGUGUGACGGUAGUGGGUAAAGAAGCACCGGCUAACUACGUG
RNAcentral lists this ribosomal RNA (467 nucleotides) under uncultured bacterium. Its description in RNAcentral is "partial 16S ribosomal RNA". It matches the Rfam family "Bacterial small subunit ribosomal RNA", at positions 28 to 507 of the family's 1533-position model. The record is from RNAcentral.